Molecule: long non-coding RNA, 450 nt
Filed under: Capra hircus (goat)
Lineage: Eukaryota; Metazoa; Chordata; Mammalia; Artiodactyla; Bovidae
Description: lncRNA (ENSCHIG00000000843.1)
Source: RNAcentral
AAAUACUUUAGUGGAUUGUCACUUUCUUCCCAGGAGAUCUUCCUGACCCAGGGAUUGAAUCCACGUCUCCUGCAUUGCAAGUGGAUUCUUUAGUGAUGAACUGCUGGGAAGGUGAAUUGGGUGGUUCGAGAGCCACAGAUUGAAGCUGGUUUAAGGAGGUGGCCUGAUUUACUACACAUUCUGUUCUUGCUGGAAGACAAAAGCAACAAAGCCCUGCAAAAGCUCAAGGGAUGACGUCUACAGAAACAUGGAGCUCCUGAUGUUUCUGAAAACACAUGCUCCAGGACCCAAGCAUGAUUCUUUAACACAAUGACAAAAGGAGAAUUAUAACCAGUUGCUGUUUGUUGGUCAACAACUUGGUAAGCAGUGACUCAAGGAACAGACUGAUCCCAAAGUAAAAGCGAGUUGUAAACAAACAUAUGCAUGCGUGUGUGUGUGUCUGAAUACAGC